UCAUUCUUAGCUCUAGUUGGUAGAGCGCGUCACUAUUAUAUAGUUGCGAACACUGUAUAUGACGAGGUCAGUCGUUCAAGUCGGCUAGAAUGUG
This is a non-coding RNA of Gymnopus androsaceus JB14, 94 nucleotides long. Lineage: Eukaryota; Fungi; Basidiomycota; Agaricomycetes; Agaricales; Omphalotaceae. The record is from the annotation of a GenBank genome assembly.